UANGCUUGCUAGAUUGAUGGCGAGUGGCGAACGGGUGAGUAAUACAUCGGAACGUGCCCUGUAGUGGGGGAUAACUAGUCGAAAGAUUAGCUAAUACCGCAUACGACCUGAGGGUGAAAGUGGGGGACCGCAAGGCCUCAUGCUAUAGGAGCGGCCGAUGUCUGAUUAGCUAGUUGGUGGGGUAAAGGCCCACCAAGGCGACGAUCAGUAGCUGGUCUGAGAGGACGAUCAGCCACACUGGGACUGAGACACGGCCCAGACUCCUACGGGAGGCAGCAGUGGGGAAUUUUGGACAAUGGGCGAAAGCCUGAUCCAGCAAUGCCGCGUGUGUGAAGAAGGCCUUCGGGUUGUAAAGCACUUUUGUCCGGAAAGAAAUGGCUCUGGUUAAUACCUGGGGUCGAUGACGGUACCGGAAGAAUAAGGACCGGCUAACUACGUGCCAGCAGCCGCGGUAAUACGUAGGGUCCAAGCGUUAAUCGGAAUUACUGGGCGUAAAGCGUGCGCAGGCGGUUGUGCAAGACCGAUGUGAAAUCCCCGAGCUUAACUUGGGAAUUGCAUUGGUGACUGCACGGCUAGAGUGUGUCAGAGGGGGGUAGAAUUCCACGUGUAGCAGUGAAAUGCGUAGAGAUGUGGAGGAAUACCGAUGGCGAAGGCAGCCCCCUGGGAUAACACUGACGCUCAUGCACGAAAGCGUGGGGAGC
Molecule: ribosomal RNA, 701 nt
Filed under: Ralstonia pickettii
Lineage: Bacteria; Pseudomonadati; Pseudomonadota; Betaproteobacteria; Burkholderiales; Burkholderiaceae
Description: bacterial SSU rRNA
Rfam family: Bacterial small subunit ribosomal RNA
Source: RNAcentral